Molecule: RNA transcript, 2069 nt
Organism: Triticum aestivum (bread wheat)
Lineage: Eukaryota; Viridiplantae; Streptophyta; Magnoliopsida; Poales; Poaceae
Exons: 6
Source: RefSeq, a predicted model, not a curated record
UCUCCCCGCAGUCGCGCCGCGCCCCUCUCCUCUCCCUGCCGCCUCGCCUCUCUUGCUCCCUCCAAACCCUAGCCCCGCCCGCGCCUCCCUGCCCUGCCGCCGUCCAGUUCCAGCACCUGCCCCGACGAGCGGCUCAUGGCGGUGCCGGAUCCAGCGUCGGGGUCGAGGCGCGCUGCCCGUGCGUGGGGAGAGGCACCCGGACGGCGUAGGGCGUGGGGCGUGGGUCAUCUGCCUCUUCUCCUCCCCUCCGCUCCCUGCCGCGUCGCCGCCUCUGCUCGCCCUCGGGUCAUCGCUUCCGCUCGCCCUCGCGCCGUCGCAUCGCGUCCUCCUCCUCGCCAUCUCGGUGCUCACCGGGAGGAGCACGGCUCGCCGCCGCAGCUACUCCGCGUCGCUGCUCCCUCGUUGAGCUCGCGCGUCCCCAUCGCCUGGAGAAGCGGAGGCUGCAGCUCCUGCAUCUGCUCGGCCCUCUUUCCCUCGUCAGUGAGCGGCUCAUGGCAGCUUCGGAUCCACUGUGCAGCACAUGUUGUCUGUUCUGCAAGAUCGACGCUGGCCUUCUACGUCAUGCGGUGGCCAUGGCCAGUGCUCUGCCGCCUCCAACUUUGGCCUCCGUCUCCACUUCAUUAGGUUGACCCCCCCCCCCCUCUCUCUCUGACCUCUGUUUUUCCAUGUAUUGGCUUGCAGGUCGCCGCCUGGUGGGUACUGGCUCGAAGGUGACGAGGUACACCAGCAGUUGGAUCAAGACUAUAUGAGGUGAUGACAAACUGUGUAAUCUUCAAAUCCACUUGACCAUAGCAAGUAUCUGCAAGGUCAGAUUCUUGUGUCACUUGCUUAUAUCCGAUGAAGAGAGUCUACUUCGUACAGAUGUUUCAUUUUACCUAGGGAUAAAAAGUGCAAUGUAAAGGUUCAUUAAACAAUCUGAACUUAUAUCUAUCAUUUAGGUGCUGAAUUUGUCUAUUUGAACUUUAUUGGUACUGAAGUUAUCUCGAUGACUGAUAUUCAUUGAUGUAACAUGUGCUGGGAUAAAUAAUAUACAAGUGGAUAUGAGGGAUAGAUAAUACAAUAGAUGAGGGCGAGCUUCAGAUUUUUGAGAAGUGUUUUUAAUGAUAACUAAAUUCUUUCAAAGUAAGGGAAUGAUUUAAACUUCUGUCGUAAACAAUGGUGUGCCUCACAUCAUUUGGAUUUGAAAUUAUUGGAUUGAGUUGAUAUGAUGCGAUAUAAGGAAAUAGUCAUCUGCACAUAUACUAAUGUAGAUACAGUCCCUUUGCAACAGAAGUAUUUAUGGAUUUUUUUUUGUUUCAUUUGUGGCACAAGGGAAACCAUGGUUGAUGAUUCCUUGCCUUUCCAGUGCUUGGGCGCACCUAGCAGCUGCUUCACGCCUCCUGAGAAUGCCGGUAUCUCUUACUUAGGUCGGUGCUGUACGGCUUGGUUGAGCUCAAAAUUCAACGGAGACGGCAAUUGUCAGUUUUGGGCGUUCUGUUCAAUUUUACCGAACUCCUGAACACCAUAUAUUUGUACGGCACCAGCUGGUGAAGCAGCUUGGAUCUCAUUGGCUCAUCAUGAGGUAUAUACUAGAUAUGUCCCUAUGGAUUACAGAGAAUAUCUUAAGAAGAUGCCAAAAGAAUUCCAAGCACGAAACCAUGGUAUGCACAGUUGGUUAGACCUUCAAAAUUAUAUGGUCUCCAGCUCAUCAACUCUUUGAAAAUAAAAGAUUGGUGAACUCAAGAGGCUGUUGGAGGGAGGUCAAGUAUGUUGGGUUAUAGAGGCGAGCCCCGACACCAUCAGGCAUUCUUACAUUGUGCACCUGAUCUCUACCAUGUAGAUGGAAUGGUCUAUGUGGGCUUGCCCGAGAUUGCCCCUCUCUGCAGGUGAAUUGGGCACUUUACAAACUCGACUUUUGUGCUUCCAUAAUCAAUAGUCCUGAUUGAAUGAGUUGUAUCGGUUAUGUAAACUCGCUUCAUGCGUGACUUACUGUGCACAUAUAAGCUAUGCUAUAUUGUUCAUACACUUCCUAUUCCUGUGACUCAUCAUCUGGAUGGUAGAGUAAUAAUUAGUUGUGACAUUUGUUGGUA